RNAcentral lists this ribosomal RNA (406 nucleotides) under uncultured bacterium. RNAcentral's name for it is "partial 16S ribosomal RNA". It matches the Rfam family "Bacterial small subunit ribosomal RNA", at positions 30 to 526 of the family's 1533-position model. The record is from RNAcentral.
AUUGAACGCUGGCGGCAGGCCUAACACAUGCAAGUCGAGCGAGCGGCGGACGGGUGAGUAAUGUCUGGGAAACUGCCUGAUGGAGGGGGAUAACUACUGGAAACGGUAGGCAAUACCGCAUACCAUCAGAUGUGCCCAGAUGGGACUAGUUAGGAGGUGGGUGAACGGCUCACCUAGGCGAAGAUCCCUAGCUGGUCUGAGAGUAGGACCAGCCAACCUGGAACUGAGACACGGUCCAGACUCCUACGGGAGGCAGAAGUGGGGAAUAUUGCACAAUGGGCGCAAGCCUGAGGCAGCCAUGCCGCGUGUAUGAAGAAGGCCUUCGGGUUGUAAAGUACUUUCAGCGGGGAGGCGUUACCCGCAUAAGAAGCACCGGCUAACUCCGUGCCAGCAGCCGCGGUAAUAC